This is a long non-coding RNA of Rhipicephalus sanguineus (brown dog tick), 389 nucleotides long. RefSeq lists it as uncharacterized. The transcript is spliced from 3 exons. The record is from RefSeq and is a predicted model, not a curated record. Lineage: Eukaryota; Metazoa; Arthropoda; Arachnida; Ixodida; Ixodidae.
GACGAUCCGCCGGCCGCAGGUGUUGGCUGUCUUCUAACUUGACGAUCCGCCGGCCGCAGGUGUUGGCUGUCUUCUAACUUGACGAUCCGCCGGCCGCAGGUGUUGGCUGUCUUCUAACUUGACGAUCCGCCGGCCGCAGGUGUUGGCUGUCUUCUAACUUGACGAUCCGCCGGCCGCAGGUGUUGGCUGUCUUCUAACUUGACGAUCCGCCGGCCGCAGGUGUUGAACCUCCUUUACACCGCAGGAGUUGAGCAGCCUUUCCAUAGCUGGGCAGCUUUGAAGAACGACUGGCGUCAGUUGACGGGGCCGGCCGGGUGAAGACGCCUUUUUACCCGGAUUGCAGACAAAGCAUGCAGGGGUUGAUCCCUGCUUCGACGUUCGGUCACCUG